AACGAACGCUGGCGGCAGGCCUAACACAUGCAAGUCGAGCGAGGACUUCGGUCCUAGCGGCGGACGGGUGAGUAACGCGUGGGAACGUGCCCUUUGCUUCGGAAUAGCCCUGGGAAACUGGGAGUAAUACCGGAUGAGCCCUUUGGGGGAAAGAUUUAUCGGCGAAGGAUCGGCCCGCGUUGGAUUAGGUAGUUGGUGGGGUAAUGGCCUACCAAGCCGACGAUCCAUAGCUGGUUUGAGAGGAUGAUCAGCCACACUGGGACUGAGACACGGCCCAGACUCCUACGGGAGGCAGCAGUGGGGAAUCUUAGACAAUGGGGGAAACCCUGAUCUAGCCAUGCCGCGUGAGCGAUGAAGGCCUUAGGGUUGUAAAGCUUUUUCAGCUGGGAAGAUAAUGACGGUACCAGCAGAAGAAGCCCCGGCUAACUCCGUG
Molecule: ribosomal RNA, 433 nt
Filed under: uncultured bacterium
Lineage: Bacteria
Description: partial 16S ribosomal RNA
Rfam family: Bacterial small subunit ribosomal RNA
Source: RNAcentral